GUCUACGGCCAUGCUACCCUGAACAAGCCCGAUCCCAUCUGAUCUUGGAAGCUAAGCAGGGUCGGGCCUGGUUAGUACUUGGAUGGGAGACCACCUAGGAAGACCAGGUUCUGUAGGCG
This 119-nucleotide ribosomal RNA is filed under the name Pteropus alecto (black flying fox). The record is from RNAcentral. Lineage: Eukaryota; Metazoa; Chordata; Mammalia; Chiroptera; Pteropodidae. RNAcentral also lists the same sequence under 1 other name.